Molecule: ribosomal RNA, 395 nt
Filed under: uncultured bacterium
Lineage: Bacteria
Description: partial 16S ribosomal RNA
Rfam family: Bacterial small subunit ribosomal RNA
Source: RNAcentral
CCUACGGGUGGCAGCAGUGGGGAAUAUUGCACAAUGGGCGCAAGCCUGACGCAGCGACGCCGCGUGAGUGAUGAAGGUCUUCGGAUCGUAAACCUCUUUCAGCAGGGAGGAACGGUCACUGUGCUAAUCCGCCGGGCAUUGACGUUACCUGCAGAGGAAGCACCGGCUAACUCCGUGCCAGCAGCCGCGGUAAUACGGAGGGUGCGAGCGUUAAUCGGAAUUACUGGGCGUACAGCGCUCGUAGGCGGUCUGUCAAGUCAAGGGUGAAAUCCCCGCGCUCAACGUGGGAACUGCAUUUGAAACUGGCAAGCUGGAGUGUUGGAGAGGAGAGUGGAAUUCCAGGUGUAGGAGUGAAAUCCGUAGAGAUCUGGAGGAAUACUAGUGGCGAAGGCGAC